RNAcentral lists this ribosomal RNA (429 nucleotides) under uncultured archaeon. RNAcentral describes it as "bacterial SSU rRNA". It matches the Rfam family "Archaeal small subunit ribosomal RNA", at positions 474 to 903 of the family's 1478-position model. The record is from RNAcentral.
UACCAGCUCUCCGAGUGGUGUGGAUGUUUAUUGGGCCUAAAGCAUCCGUAGCUGGCUGGGCAAGUCCCCUGUUAAAUCCACCGAUUUAAUCGUUGGAGUGCGGGGGAUACUGUUCGGCUAGGGGACGGGAGAGGCAGACGGUAUUUUCGGGGUAGGGGUGAAAUCCUAUAAUCCCGGGAAGACCACCAGUGGCGAAGGCUGUCUGCUAGAACGCGCCCGACGGUGAGGGAUGAAAGCUAGGGGAGCGAACCGGAUUAGGUACCCGGGUAGUCCCAGCUGUAAACGAUGCGAGCUAGGUGUUGGGGUGGCUACGUGCCACUUCAGUGCCGCAGGGAAGCCAUUAAACUCGCCGCCUGGGGAGUACGGCCGCAAGGCUGAAACUUAAAGGAAUUGGCGGGGGAGCACCACAAGGCGUGAAGCUUGCGGUUC